This 505-nucleotide ribosomal RNA is filed under the name uncultured bacterium. Its description in RNAcentral is "partial 16S ribosomal RNA". It matches the Rfam family "Bacterial small subunit ribosomal RNA", at positions 28 to 507 of the family's 1533-position model. The record is from RNAcentral.
GACGAACGCUGGCGGCGUGCCUAAUACAUGCAAGUCGAACGCACAGUUUAUACCGUAGCUUGCUACACCAUAGACUGUGAGUUGCGAACGGGUGAGUAACGCGUAGGUAACCUGCCUGGUAGCGGGGGAUAACUAUUGGAAACGAUAGCUAAUACCGCAUAAUAUUAAUUAUUGCAUGAUAAUUAAUUGAAAGGUGCAAUUGCACCACUACCAGAUGGACCUGCGUUGUAUUAGCUAGUAGGUGAGGUAACGGCUCACCUAGGCGACGAUACAUAGCCGACCUGAGAGGGUGAUCGGCCACACUGGGACUGAGACACGGCCCAGACUCCUACGGGAGGCAGCAGUAGGGAAUCUUCGGCAAUGGACGAAAGUCUGACCGAGCAACGCCGCGGGAGUGAAGAAGGUUUUCGGAUCGUAAAGCUCUGUUGUAAGAGAAGAACGGGUGUGAGAGUGGAAAGUUCACACUGUGACGGUAGCUUACCAGAAAGGGACGGCUAACUACGCG